GGGGGGGGGGGUAGACUUGCUUGCAAGGUUGUGUAAAAUGUUUGUACAAAAUUCUGUGAAGUAGUAUUUUCCAGGGUCUUAAGUGUAUAUAGUUUGUUUGUCGAUUUAUAAACACAAAUACCCAUGCAAAUUAAAGUUUUAAAAAGUAUAACUAGUUUUGUAAUUGUUGAGUAGCUUUUACAUUAUUCAUUGUCAAUUUACAUUUUUUUUUUUUAUUCUUUGCAUUUAAAAACAGUAAAAGAAUUUUUUUUUUACUCUUUGUUGGUAACUAAGUAUUUUGUCAUUUAUCUUAAAACUCUUUUUUCUAAUAAUCAAGAACUCUUAUAAUUUAUUAAAACUGUUGCGUUUGCAACACUUUAUGUAAAAAUAAUGGAAUAGAUUUGAAUUUUUAUUGUAUCAUACUAGUGCAAUUAAAAAUGAUCUUGUGUUUUGAAAAAGAUUAGCUUGUUGAAAAAUGAAGCAAAUUACUUUAUGCAUGUAAAUGAAAGAUACUGUUAUGAUAAUUUUUUUUUUAUUUAAAAACUUUGUAAACUUGUUAUUCAAGUUAAGUUUCAUUUGGUACUGAAUUUCAUCUUACCAACUUGUCAUCUUAAAUUCCAACCAGUUCAAGGUCAACACCUUACUGUGCUCUUAAUCUAGGAUUGGCAUACUACAGGAAACCCAUUUAGUCUUCUGAGUGUAUCUAUAAACUUAAUGUUUAAUUGACUUGUACCAUCACGGAACAUUCAGCGUACUAACUUUUCAGGAACAAAAAAGGCACAGUAAAAUGAAAGAUUUUUUUUGACAAGGUUUAAUGCAGCUAUAUUUGUCUUCCACUAAGUCUAGCAUUUAUUUGUUCCACUUCUCUGUCUCGCUGAAUGAAUGAACAUUUUUAACAUUGAUAUGAAGUUCAGAUGAAACAUUCAAACUUUAUAAAUAUUGAACUCACUAAGACAAACAACUGGGAAUAUCAAUAUGCAUCCUUCAGUACUAUUAUAUUUUAAAUUUAAAGUCCCUGUCGGUGUGAGUAUAGUUUUAAAUAUUGGAUUUAAUUAUUUAUAAACUAUGUUAUGUCUGACUAAAGAAGUCGCAAAUAAACUAGUUAUGUAGGGUGUUCUCGGUCAUGUUUUUUUAAAAAGUUUUCUAUCUACAUUCUUCCAUCUUCAGCAUGAGCAAAAGGAAAUCCACAUUUGCUCUCGUCAACCUCAUCUCAUGAAAUAAAAAAUUUUUAUACAACUUUUCAAA
This is a non-coding RNA of Biomphalaria pfeifferi, 1224 nucleotides long. NCBI's taxonomy places the organism in Eukaryota, Metazoa, Mollusca, Gastropoda, Planorbidae. The record is from the annotation of a GenBank genome assembly.